UGGAUUAACGUUUAUGUUUGUGCAUAAUUUUCUUAAACAAGGUUGUCUUUUAAAUAAAAAUAAUAACAAUAUUAAUAGAAGCAUUUUUUUCUUAUAAUGGCAUAAGCAUUUAAACAUUUAUACAAUAUCCAACGUUUUAAUAAUUGAACUAAUUUAUCUUUAUAUUUUAUCAAUUUUUUUUUUACCAAUUUACCAAUUUUUUUUAAGCAUUUACACUUUAUGUUGGUAUUUUUUACUUUCUUUUUUCUUUUUUGUUGUUUUUUGGGGGAGGACACUGUCGGAUCUGAAACUCUGAAACCACAUCUCCCAUAAUUCCGUGCUUCCGCGUGACGAUACUUCCGGUUUGAUCAGGUCUCUUUGCCUGACCCACUAACCAACGGGACAGAGAAGUGUGUACUGGUGCUGUGCUGCACUCCUCUCCUCAUGCCCCUGCAAGUGACGUGGCCAUUCCCACAGUGCCCCCGUCUGGGCUGGAGGAUAUCCAGUUCAUUUGUGAUGGGCAUGGUUGGAUCAUACAGCUACCUGUGGACCAAAUAUUUGAACUCUUUGUCAGUGCACAACCAGGACGUUCUGCUGGACCUGGUGGAUGAACGGCCUCAGGAUACGCCGCUCAUCACUGUGUCCAAUCACCAGUCCUGCAUGGAUGACCCUCACAUCUGGGGUGUGUUGAAGCUUCGGCAGCUGUGGAACUGGAAGAGAAUGAGAUGGACCCUGACGGCGUCUGAUAUUUGCUUCACGAGGGAAUUCCACUCUCGAUUUUUCAGCAGAGGGAAGUGUGUACCGGUGGUUCGAGGUGAUGGAGUGUAUCAGAGAGGAAUGGACUUCCUCGUAGAGCGACUCAAUCAGGGCGACUGGGUGCACGUAUUUCCGGAAGGGAAGGUGAACGUGACGGAGGAGUUCAUCAGGUUAAAAUGGGGAGUCGGGCGUUUAAUAGCCGAGUGUUCACUUCAUCCUGUGAUCUUACCUCUGUGGCACGUCGGUCUGAAUGAUAUUCUUCCUAAUAAAACUCCGUACAUCCCUCGAAUAGGAAAGAGAGUAACUGUGUUAGUGGGAAAACCUUUUACAGUAAAACACAUAGUAGAAGCCCUGAGAGCGGAAAAUAAAAAUCCGGUAAGCUCAUCCUCAUCAUCAUCAUCCUCAUCAUCAUCAUCCUCAUCAUCAUCAUCCUCAUCCUCAUCAUCAUCAUCCUCAUCCUCAUCAUCAUCAUCCUCAUCCUCAUCAUUGUGCCAGAACUGGAUGGAAUUCACUGCUGAAUUGCAUUUCACUUUCAUCACUGUGUUGCAUUCACACCACACUGAUAUGCAAUCACUGUCCAAUCACAGCUCUAAGCUUCACUCUGGGGGGCGUGGCUAUAAUCUUUAAACAGGGAGAAGGAUUUCCAUAUAAGGAAAUACUUUUUAUCUUAGUGGUUUCUUCAUUCCUGCUGCGCUGAACUCUUAAUCAUCACCGCAUUUUUAUUUCGGAAUUAUAACUAAAACAUGAUCAAAUAAAUAAAUGUUCAGACAAAUAAAAAUCCUUACCGCUCCCAGCAGGACCGAGACGUUACGUGGGAUUAUCUGAAGAGCGAGGGGUUAAAUGUUUAAGGGUUUAUAUGGAGUUCUCAUCAUCACCAGCAGAUGAACUGAUUAGCAAGGUCACAGCAAGGUCACGUGUCUGAAAUAGUACUGAGCUACAUGUUCAUGUUCGGGAAGUGGAAGUCCGAUGGAGUGUGUUGGUGUGGAGUUCGGCUCCUUUAAUAGCAGGUUUAACGUCGCUCUGUGGGAUGCUGAAAGUUUAAUAUACUUUUUACCUCCGAACCCUGACUGAUACGUUCCCAGAACUUUAUCCCUGAUUUGUGAUCCUCAUGAUGCUGUGUGUUUAGGUAUAUUCUCUAACACACUCUGGGGUUCUCUAACACACUCUGGGGUUCUCUAACACGCUCUGGGGUUCUCUAACACACUCUGGGUUCUCUAACACGCUCUGGGGUUCUCUAACACACUCUGGGGUUCUCUAACACACUCUGGGUUCUCUAACACACUCUGGGUUCUCUAACACACUCUGGUUCCUUUAACACGCUCUGGGGUUCUCUAACACGCUCUGGGGUUCUCUAACACACUCUGGUUCUCUAACACGCUCUGGGGUUCUCUAACACACUCUGGUUCUCUAACACGCUCUGGGGUUCUCUAACACACUCUGGUUCUCUAACACACUCUGGUUCUCUAACACGCUCUGGUUCUCUAACACGCUCUGGGGUUCUCUAACACACUCUGGUUCUCUAACACACUCUGGUUCUCUAACACGCUCUGGGGUUCUCUAACACACUCUGGUUCUCUAACACGCUCUGGGGUUCUCUAACACGCUCUGGGGUUCUCUAACACACUCUGGUUCUCUAACACGCUCUGGUUCUCUAACACGCUCUGGGGUUCUCUAACACGCUCUGGUUCUCUAACACACUCUGGGGUUCUCUAACACACUCUGGGGUUCUCUAACACACUUUGGUUCUCUAACACGCUCUGGGUUCUCUAACACGCUCUGGGGUUCUCUAACACGCUCUGGGUUCUCUAACACACUCUGGGGUUCUCUAACACACUCUGGGGUUCUCUAACACACUUUGGUUCUCUAACACGCUCUGGGUUCUCUAACACGCUCUGGGGUUCUCUAACACGCUCUGGGUUCUCUAACACACUCUGGGGUUCUCUAACACACUCUGGUUCUCUAACACGCUCUGGGGUUCUCUAACACACUCUGGUUCUCUAACACGCUCUGGGGUUCUCUAACACACUCUGGGGUUCUCUAACACACUCUGGUUCUCUAACACGCUCUGGGUUCUCUAACACGCUCUGGGGUUCUCUAACACACUGUGGUUCUCUAACACGCUCUGGGUUCUUCCAGGAACAGGUGUAUUUAUAUCAAAACUUACAUCGUGUGACUUCUGAUGGAAGGGAACUAAUUCACGGGUUUCACAGUGACCUGGGGGUGAAUACUUAUGCACACACACGUUUAUGUUUUGUUAUUUGUUAAUAAUUUUGGAAACUAUAUAGACGUCUUCAGUAUUCUGGGCUGUUCUGUGUAGAUCCAUGUCCACUGUGAUCCCAGUUUCAGUUUGUAACACUACAUAAUACUCCUGCACAACAAUGUUAUAUUUUCAGACGGAGAACCAGAAGAAUUUGCUCUUAAUGUGGACGCUUUAAUAAAGAAAAUUAAACAGAGAGACAUCAGACGUACACGGCUGUGCGUUUCAGCGUAGCGCGUCUGCAGCACGGUGAUGAAAACCCAAAGCAGCGCAGUGUGGAACAGCAUUCAGUUCUGAUGCAGAGUGGAAAUGAGAAAAGCGCUGACGGACUUCAUCCAGGCCGAGUUCCGCACUUUAAAAUCACAGGCUGAAGCUCUUCAUCAGAGGAUUCAGACCAGCCAGUGAUCCACACGCAGCUCAAGAACCUGCAGGAUACGUUGGGCAUGGACUGAAACACACACACACACACACACACACACACACACACACACACACUCUGAUCAGACUGAAGCGGAGCGAGGCUGAAUGAGGUGAAAGUGUGUAAAAGUUCCUUCAGAGAUGUUUACAGCGCUCCUCCGAGCUCCACGAGGAACAUCACAGACUCAGAAACCUUCUCCGUUUAUGUGAAAUACGAAGUUCCGUACACGAGAGAACAUUUUUAUACCAGUUUUAGAUUUUUAAGGCAGUUAUUACGAGCGCAUCUCAAUCAACAACUGUAAUUUCUACACUUUUAUUAAAUGAAUUCCUAACCUGU
Molecule: RNA transcript, 3746 nt
Organism: Ictalurus furcatus (blue catfish)
Lineage: Eukaryota; Metazoa; Chordata; Actinopteri; Siluriformes; Ictaluridae
Gene: tafazzin
Gene name: tafazzin, phospholipid-lysophospholipid transacylase
Exons: 11
Source: RefSeq, a predicted model, not a curated record